RNAcentral lists this ribosomal RNA (650 nucleotides) under uncultured bacterium. RNAcentral describes it as "bacterial SSU rRNA". It matches the Rfam family "Bacterial small subunit ribosomal RNA", at positions 55 to 685 of the family's 1533-position model. The record is from RNAcentral.
AUGCAGUCGAGCGGAUGUGAUCGCGGAGCUUGCUCCCUGAUAUCAGCGGCGGACGGGUGAGUAACACGUGGGUAACCUGCCUGUAAGACUGGGAUAACUCCGGGAAACCGGGGCUAAUACCGGAUAACUCAUUUCCUCGCAUGAGGAAAUGUUGAAAGAUGGCUUCGGCUAUCACUUACAGAUGGACCCGCGGCGCAUUAGCUAGUUGGUGAGGUAACGGCUCACCAAGGCAACGAUGCGUAGCCGACCUGAGAGGGUGAUCGGCCACACUGGGACUGAAACACGGCCCAAACUCCUACGGGAGGCAGCAGUAGGGAAUCUUCCGCAAUGGACGAAAGUCUGACGGAGCAACGCCGCGUGAGUGAUGAAGGUUUUCGGAUCGUAAAGCUCUGUUGUUAGGGAAGAACAAGUGCCGUUCGAAUAGGGCGGCACCUUGACGGUACCUAACCAGAAAGCCACGGCUAACUACGUGCCAGCAGCCGCGGUAAUACGUAGGUGGCAAGCGUUGUCCGGAAUUAUUGGGCGUAAAGCGCGCGCAGGUGGUUCCUUAAGUCUGAUGUGAAAGCCCACGGCUCAACCGUGGAGGGUCAUUGGAAACUGGGGAACUUGAGUGCAGAAGAGGAAAGUGGAAUUCCAAGUGUAGCGGUGAA